RNAcentral lists this ribosomal RNA (710 nucleotides) under uncultured bacterium. RNAcentral's name for it is "bacterial SSU rRNA". It matches the Rfam family "Bacterial small subunit ribosomal RNA", at positions 74 to 777 of the family's 1533-position model. The record is from RNAcentral.
AGCAGCUUGCUGCUUCGCUGACGAGUGGCGGACUGGUGAGUAAUGUCUGGGAAACUGCCUGAUGGAGGGGGAUAACUACUGGAAACGGUGGCUAAUACCGCAUAACGUCGCAAGACCAAAGAGGGGGACCUUCGGGCCUCUUGCCAUCAGAUGUGCCCAGAUGGGAUUAGCUUGUUGGUGAGGUAACGGCUCACCAAGGCGACGAUCCCUAGCUGGUCUGAGAGGAUGACCAGCCACACUGUAACUGAGACACGGUCCAGACUCCUACGGGAGGCAGCAGUGGGGAAUAUUGCACAAUGGGCGCAAGCCUGAUGCAGCCAUGCCGCGUGUAUGAAGAAGGCCUUCGGGUUGUAAAGUACUUUCAGCGGGGAGGAAGGUGUUGUGGUUAAUAACCGCAGCAAUUGACGUUACCCGCAGAAGAAGCACCGGCUAACUCCGUGCCAGCAGCCGCGGUAAUACGGAGGGUGCAAGCGUUAAUCGGAAUUACUGGGCGUAAAGCGCACGCAGGCGGUCUGUCAAGUCGGAUGUGAAAUCCCCGGGCUCAACCUGGGAACUGCAUUCGAAACUGGCAGGCUUGAGUCUUGUAGAGGGGGGUAGAAUUCCAGGUGUAGCGGUGAAAUGCGUAGAGAUCUGGAGGAAUACCGGUGGCGAAGGCGGCCCCCUGGACAAAGACUGACGCUCAGGUGCGAAAGCGUGGGGAGCAAACAGGA